This 510-nucleotide ribosomal RNA is filed under the name uncultured bacterium. RNAcentral describes it as "partial 16S ribosomal RNA". It matches the Rfam family "Bacterial small subunit ribosomal RNA", at positions 28 to 507 of the family's 1533-position model. The record is from RNAcentral.
GACGAGCGCUGGCGGCGUGCUUAACACAUGCAAGUCGAACGAAGAGCGAUGGAAGCUUGCUUCUAUCAAUCUUAGUGGCGAACGGGUGAGUAACGCGUAAUCAACCUGCCCUUCAGAGGGGGACAACAGUUGGAAACGACUGCUAAUACCGCAUACGAUCUAAUCUCGGCAUCGAGGAAAGAUGAAAGGUGGCCUCUAUUUAUAAGCUAUCACUGAAGGAGGGGAUUGCGUCUGAUUAGCUAGUUGGAGGGGUAACGGCCCACCAAGGCGAUGAUCAGUAGCCGGUCUGAGAGGAUGAACGGCCACAUUGGGACUGAGACACGGCCCAGACUCCUACGGGAGGCAGCAGUGGGGAAUCUUCCGCAAUGGACGAAAGUCUGACGGAGCAACGCCGCGUGAGUGAUGACGGCCUUCGGGUUGUAAAGCUCUGUUAAUCGGGACGAAAGGCCUUCUUGCGAACAGUUAGAAGGAUUGACGGUACCGGAAUAGAAAGCCACGGCUAACUACGUG